Molecule: transfer RNA, 70 nt
Filed under: Marmota monax (woodchuck)
Lineage: Eukaryota; Metazoa; Chordata; Mammalia; Rodentia; Sciuridae
Description: tRNA.Thr
Source: RNAcentral
AUGUGGCUGGAGUGGUAGCACGCUUGCCUGGUAUGCACGGGGCGCUGGGUUCGAUCCUCACCACCACAUA